AUAUCUACAAAUUAUGUUAUCAUUAUGCUCGACAAAGAAUAAUUGAUUCCUUCGGAUCAUCUACAUAAAGGUAAUAUUCGAAUUCUUCCGAAAUUGUCAUCCUUCAGGGAAAGUCGAAUUUAUUUUUAAUGGUAAAGUAGCAAUUUGUCUUCUCUAAUGUUUUCAUUCGUGGUUGUUUCUUAAUUUACAGGCUUUUAAACGGUCUCCUUGGUGCAGCUCAAGUCUGGAGCAAACUGUUAGUUUGGUUGGGAAUUAGGAAGAAUCCUAGCAACUGGGAUAAUGAGCUACUGUGGACUGAACAAAAUGCAAAGAGCAAAUCUCCUCAGGCUUAAGUUUAUAGAAUUUUGUUGGCAACAGCUGUUUACCAUAUAUGAAAGGAGAGAAACAUGAGGGUAUUCCAACAAAAACAACUGAGUGUUCAGUGACGCUCAUUAUACAAGAGAUUCACACUAGAGCAGGAAGAUAGGCAAAACUUACUAGAUGGCUUAGCAAUUAUUAUUUGUAUCCAGUUUGAUAGGCUUUGUAGUAGUUCUCUUUUGCUAGCAGUUGUGUUGCAGCUAUUAUGUUUAGAUUGGUCUUUUGCUAGAGAAACUUCAACUUUCAGUAUAAAAAUGAAUCAAGUGAAAUUUAAGUUGCCAACUAAAUUCCACAUUUUUUUUUCUUAUCUUCAACAUCAAGUACUCUUUUUGUUCAAUUUUUACACAAAAUAUUGUUUAAACACCUACAUAAUUUCUUCAGGAUAGUAUUAAGGUUUGCCCCAAGUUUACCGAAUUACGAAGAUAUGAUCAAGAAAUUAUUUGAAGAAUACAUGCACAUUGACGAAAAGGUCCUUACUGAGCUGGAAGUGGUACUGCUAGAAUUUAUUGAUUGGACUUUAUUUAGCGACGAACAACUCUCUCUAAAUUAUAUAAAUUUGUAAAUAUCAAGGGCUUCAUAAGGUGCUGUAUAAAUAAAAAAAGAAUUAACGAGGGAGAACUCUAUCUAAAAAAUAAAAUAAUGUAAUCUAAUUCAUUUAGUGACCGCGCGAUGUGCGGACAAAUUUACUAGUUAUAAAAUAAGAUGACCAACAUGACCAUGUUUAUGUACUGAUCCCGCCAUUCAUAAAAAGUACUAUUCUCCAUCUCAAUUUAUGUGUAUUUAAAUAUGGAGUAUAAGAAAAGAAAGAAAGGAAGAA
Long non-coding RNA from Lycium ferocissimum, 1174 nucleotides. RefSeq lists it as uncharacterized. Lineage: Eukaryota; Viridiplantae; Streptophyta; Magnoliopsida; Solanales; Solanaceae. The record is from RefSeq and is a predicted model, not a curated record. The transcript has 2 exons.